Molecule: ribosomal RNA, 253 nt
Filed under: uncultured bacterium
Lineage: Bacteria
Description: partial 16S ribosomal RNA
Rfam family: Bacterial small subunit ribosomal RNA
Source: RNAcentral
UACGUAGGCAGCGAGCGUUGUUCGGAAUUACUGGGCGUAAAGAGUGUGUAGGCGGUGCUCUAAGUUCGGAGUGAAAUCUCCCGGCUUAACUGGGAGGGUGCGCCGGAAACUGGAGUGCUCGAGCGUGGGAGAGGAAAGCGGAAUUCCUGGUGUAGCGGUGAAAUGCGUAGAUAUCAGGAGGAACACCUGCGGUGUAGACGGCUUUCUGGACCAUUGCUGACGCUGAGACACGAAAGCGUGGGUAGCAAACAGG